RNAcentral lists this ribosomal RNA (382 nucleotides) under uncultured bacterium. Its description in RNAcentral is "bacterial SSU rRNA". It matches the Rfam family "Bacterial small subunit ribosomal RNA", at positions 29 to 400 of the family's 1533-position model. The record is from RNAcentral.
AACGAACGCUGGCGGCGCGCCUAAUACAUGCAAGUCGAGCGAGAAGACGUAGCAAUACGUUUGUAAAGCGGCGAACGGGUGAGGAAUACAUGGGUAACCUACCCUAGAGUGGGGGAAUAACUAGCCGAAAGGUUAGCUAAUACCGCGUACGCUCCUUGGACUUCGGUUCAGGGAGGAAAGCGAUACCGUGGGUAUCGCGCUCUUGGAUGGGCUCAUGUCCUAUCAGCUUGUUGGGAGGUAACGGCUCACCAAGGCUUCGACGGGUAGCUGGUCUGAGAGGGACGAUCAGCCACACUGGCACUGCGACACGGGCCAGACUCCUACGGGAGGCAGCAGUAAGGAAUAUUGCGCAAUGGGCGAAAGCCUGACGCAGCGACGCCGC